RNAcentral lists this ribosomal RNA (445 nucleotides) under uncultured bacterium. RNAcentral describes it as "partial 16S ribosomal RNA". It matches the Rfam family "Bacterial small subunit ribosomal RNA", at positions 354 to 796 of the family's 1533-position model. The record is from RNAcentral.
GUGAGGAAUAUUGGUCAAUGGGCGAGAGCCUGAACCAGCCAAGUCGCGUGAAGGAAGAAGGAUCUAUGGUUCGUAAACUUCUUUUGCAGGGGAAUAAAGUGCGGGACGUGUCCUGUUUUGUAUGUACCCUGAGAAUAAGGAUCGGCUAACUCCGUGCCAGCAGCCGCGGUAAUACGGAGGAUCCGAGCGUUAUCCGGAUUUAUUGGGUUUAAAGGGUGCGUAGGUGGUUUGAUAAGUCAGCGGUGAAAGUUUGCAGCUUAACUGUAAAAAUGCCGUUGAAACUGUCGGAGUUGAGUGUAAAUGAGGUAGGCGGAAUGCGUGGUGUAGCGGUGAAAUGCAUAGAUAUCACGCAGAACUCCGAUUGCGAAGGCAGCUUACUAAGCUACAACUGACACUGAAGCACGAAAGCGUGGGGAUCAAACAGGAUUAGAAACCCCGGUAGUCC